Molecule: ribosomal RNA, 257 nt
Filed under: uncultured bacterium
Lineage: Bacteria
Description: partial 16S ribosomal RNA
Rfam family: Bacterial small subunit ribosomal RNA
Source: RNAcentral
GACGGGUGAGUAACACGUAGGAAUCUGCCUAGUAGUGGGGGAUAACUUGGGGAAACUCAAGCUAAUACCGCAUACGCUCUACGGAGGAAAGCGGGGGAUCUUCGGACCUCGCGCUAUUAGAUGAGCCUGCGUCCGAUUAGCUAGUUGGUGGGGUAAAGGCCCACCAGAGAGACGAUCGGUAGCUGGUCUGAGAGGACGAUCAGCCACACUGGACUCUGAGACACGGGACUGACUCUACGUGAGUCCAGCAGUGGGGA